AACGCGAAGAACCCUUACCCAGGCUUGCCAUCCGGGGGACAGGUCAAAAAAUGGAUUUUUCCUUCGGGUCUUCUGAAGAGGUGCUGCAUGGCUGUCGUCAGCUCGUGCCGUGAGGUGUUGGGUUAAGUCCCCCAACGAGCGCAACCCUUAUCGUUAGUUGCCAACAUGUAAUGGUGGGAACUCUAACGAGACUGCCUGGGUUAACCAGGAGGAAGGUGAGGAUGACGUCAAGUCCGCAUGGCCCUUAUGUCUGGGGCUACACACGUGCUACAAUGGUCGGUACAAAAGGCAGCGAAACCGCAAGGUGAAGCAAAUCCCAAAAAACCGAUCCCAUUUCAAAUUGAGUCUGCAACUCCCCUACCUGAAAAUGGAAUUGCUAGUAAUGGCGAUGCCACCACCUCCCCCGGAAAUACUUCCCGGGUCUUGUACACACCG
This 435-nucleotide ribosomal RNA is filed under the name uncultured bacterium. RNAcentral describes it as "bacterial SSU rRNA". It matches the Rfam family "Bacterial small subunit ribosomal RNA", at positions 958 to 1392 of the family's 1533-position model. The record is from RNAcentral.